GUGAGGUUGGGCUUAUCUCUCUCAUUCGGGACAAAUCCAAACAUGUUGCCCAUUUGAAGCUAAACUCUUAUUCAUUAGGUAAAAUAGGCUUUGGAUUUCACACGUGUUUCAGUAUCUAUGCAAAAAAAAAAAUCAUCAUGAGCAAAAAUAUGCCAAAGUGGACCGCUGUUCGCGCCGCAUGGCGUGUGAACGACUGCUGUUUCCAAUGAAUAUGUGCGCGUGAGGCACCAGCGCGAUCAAAGUCACAGUUCACAGUCUGAGGCAGAGCAGGAGGGUAAGCUGCCAGAGAAAAGAUUCAGGAAGCCAGUGUAAGUGUGUUCUGUCUUGUUUUUGUUAUGUUUCUACAGUAAUAAGAAGGUUAUUCACCGUAGCAUUCAAAAAUAAACAAGAGAUGCUUGUACUAUGUAUAUUUUGCAAUUUUGGGAUUGCAAUAACCAUAAUGGUUACUUAACAGCCAUCGUUUUGGGGACUCUGAUGAGAGUGAAGAAGAGCCAGAUGCCACGACCUUCCAACUUGCCUGGUGUGUCAGUUGAAGCCUCAUGCCCAAGCCAUUUGCACUGGAAGACUCCAUCAUCUUGCCGAGUGCCAGGCAACAGAGUAACUACUCCUCAAAACUGUCUAGGUAAACACUGUUCUCCUAAAUAAUAUUGAAUACAGUGGCCCCAUUUAUAUUAACACAGCAAUGGUCACUCUGUUUCAAAUCAAUGGACUGCAUCUGCAUUACCAUCUCAGAUUUUCAAUGUCAAUCCAUUCAUGGGGUUGAAGUAGGUAGUUUAUACCAAAUUAAUGUUCAGCAUGACAAGAGAUUUUUUUGUUUGCCAUUGUUUGGCCCUGUAGCUUGCAUGCCUCACAGCCUACCAUGGUUAACAGAUCACAACCAUUUAAUACCAAUUUCUCUCCAUUAGCACCAGACUAUGGGGCAGGACAGCAACUCCCAACACCCGCAUUUAACAUGCAGAGAGUUACUCAAGGAAUGGCAGUCCCUCCACAACUCCCUCCACCCCCCGCACCAGCCCUCAACAUGCGGCCAACAGAGGAAGCCUGUUCAAGCCUGACCUACAGACCAACAUGGCGAGGGGGAAGAAUGGCCGAUACCAUUCCCUGCUCUGCGGCUGAGGUCCACAUACUUAGCCUGCUGGAAACCAUUAAACAGCAACAAGACCAGCUUGUGGCAAAGGUGAACUACCUCAGCAGCAGGCUGAACAGCACCCCGGGGCCAGAUGUUGAGAUGCCUGAAAAUAUCCAGUUUCCCCUGGAACAAUUGGAGGCCGUGGAGGCAUUUGAAAUGUUUCUAAAGGAACCGUCAAAUGGCCCAGCUCGACAGAGAGUGAUUUCUUCUUUGGCCACCAUUGGAGGUGGUGGAGGACCUUACUUUUCAGUAAGUACAUAAUUCAAAGUAAUAUUAAAUACGUUCAAAGUCAAUAGUUUGUGAAUGUUAGGGCAGCCUUAAAAAUCGCUGCAACCAUCUUACCAAUAUGACCGUGUAGCCUUUUUUUUUUUAGACAAUUGAUUAACUAAUCCUUUACUAAACAUGACUUUGCGUUUCAUAAAUGAUGUAAAAAAAAAAAUUGUAUGUCAUAGAUGAUGUGUAAAUGCAUGAGUAAAUAAUUUACAACACUUUCUGCAUCCCCUAAUUUAAAGUGUAAACUAUUCAUCACUUGUAAAUGUGUUAGUGUUAGGGGUUUUACAUAAUUUAAAAUUAUGUAAAAUCGCUGGUCUUGGUGAGUAUCCUAAGUCGGUUAGCCCUAUAUCUCAAGUGAACGUAGCCAUGUUCAUAUUGGGUCGUUCGGUCUUUAAGGGGCAGCAAUUUAAUAAACCUGCUGCUGUGUUUUAAACA
This is a long non-coding RNA of Cyprinus carpio (common carp), 1837 nucleotides long. The record is from Ensembl. Lineage: Eukaryota; Metazoa; Chordata; Actinopteri; Cypriniformes; Cyprinidae.